Long non-coding RNA from Cannabis sativa, 483 nucleotides. RefSeq lists it as uncharacterized. The transcript has 3 exons. NCBI's taxonomy places the organism in Eukaryota, Viridiplantae, Streptophyta, Magnoliopsida, Rosales, Cannabaceae. The record is from RefSeq and is a predicted model, not a curated record.
UUUCUCUUCACCUCUCUAUCUUCUCUUCACCAUUGUUCCAUCUUCACCAUUGUUUUCUCUCUUACCUCUUUGUCUUCUCCUCCACCAUUUCUCUUCACCAUUGUUCCAUCUUACCUGAAGAGGAGGCAUCGAUUUACGCCGUCGAAGCGAAAAGAGGAGCCUAUAAAACAUCGUGAGGUCCCGUCGUCCCUCUACGUCCUCUGACCCCUUUUCUUCGGACAGCCACCUCUGCCCUCUCCUCUGGGUUGGGUAACACUACAAUUGACCCGAGAUCCCACCUUUGCAAGAGGAUUCUUGUCUGCUAGAUCCGUCACUGGGUUUCUUUCAGAUGUUUAUUCUGUAGCUGCUGAUGAAGUUGGGAAAAUUUUUGUUAUUGCUGAUGAAAGGGCAGAUCUUAGCAAACCAGAGACAAUUCCUGCAACGUUAGUUGUCAUUCACACUGUUAUUGAUUGUGCCACAGGGCACCCAGAAGAGCCUAUAAAG